GUGCAACGAAGUUGUUUGGUUUUUUUUUGUAAUUUUUUUUUGUGUGCAACAUUUGAAUUUUAAAGUGCGGAAUUCACGCCCAGUGCGCCACGCCCACAACACCAUCGUGUCGUUUUGUGCUAUGCAUGUGUUCAUUGUUGUGUCGCCGCGUGACAACGCCACUUUGAUUCGCCAUUGAAAUUGGAAUCCGCUUAUUCUGCCGACGCACCGCGCCAAAAAAUAAAUAAAUACCAAUAUAGUGAGUGAACAACGUUUCGUUGUAUGUGUGCGGAGCAUACAAAAUAAAAGCAAAACAAUAUUUUCCUAAUUUUCGCGCGCGCACGCGACCAAAGAAAAUCCAACAAAAAAAAAAAGAUAAAGAAAAAAGAAAGCCCAAAAGCAAAGAAAACUGUCAGCAACAGGCGGACGACGCUGUCAACUGAAGCGCAGCAGGAGCUCCACUCUCGCCUCAGAAAUGUGAGCGAGAAGGGAGAGUAGUAGCUCCACGAACUUCAGAUCAUAUGGUGUGGGUUUGCAAUGUUUCCUUUACCUUUUUGCGUUCAUCGUGGCCGUUUUGCUAUGCUUAACACCUCGUAAAUCUUCAUAACCUGGGCAGCAGAAGGAGCCGAAGGAGCAGCUACGCGCGCUGUCGCUUAUUGAAUCAGCUGCCUUUUGUCUAGAAGCCUUUAAACCAUUUUAGGCUUUUGUAAAUUUACCGCAAUUCUCACCCAAAAAUGCCGCAACGAAAUUCAAAGCUGAAACUUCGUGCACCUUGGCGUCGCCUGCUUUUGGGACAGUCAGGAAGUUGAAGACAUUUCCGUUAUGAAUACUGCGUACGAACGACGAAGAGCUAGCGAGAUAGAGCGAAAGAGCGGCAAAGAAGCAUAUUGCCACGGACGGAGAAGGAGGAGGUGGAGGCGGAGGUGGUGCCCCACAACCGGAGCCACAACAAACGCCGGAAUGCCAAACUUUUGCCUUUGAUGGCAAAGAAAAAAAACCGAGCGAAAAGGACGCAAUCAGGCAGCACACAGUGGUAAGAAUAUCCAAAUGCACAUCCAAAAACAGAAAACAUAUGUAAAUAAACGCA
Drosophila sulfurigaster albostrigata is the source of this 1066-nucleotide long non-coding RNA. RefSeq lists it as uncharacterized. The record is from RefSeq and is a predicted model, not a curated record. Lineage: Eukaryota; Metazoa; Arthropoda; Insecta; Diptera; Drosophilidae. The transcript is spliced from 4 exons.